This 587-nucleotide ribosomal RNA is filed under the name Cicindela lusitanica. RNAcentral's name for it is "partial 16S ribosomal RNA". It matches the Rfam family "Bacterial large subunit ribosomal RNA", at positions 1920 to 2733 of the family's 2925-position model. Lineage: Eukaryota; Metazoa; Arthropoda; Insecta; Coleoptera; Carabidae. The record is from RNAcentral.
GAAUUAAAUGGCCGCAGUAUUUUGACUGUGCAAAGGUAGCAUAAUUAUUANUUUUUUAAUUGAAAGCUUGUAUGAAGGGUUGGACGAGAUAAAAUCUGUCUUUAUUUAAAUUACAAUAGAAUUUAACUUUUAAGUCAAAAGGCUUAAAUGUAUAUAAAAGACGAGAAGACCCUAUAGAUCUUUAUUUAAUUAAUAUUUUGAUAAUUUAAGAUUAUUUUAGUUUAAAGUUUUAAUUAAAUUUUAUUGGGGUAAUAUAGAGAUUAAAUAAAUUCUUUUUAUUUAUUACAUUGAUUUAUGAAUAUAUGAUCCAAUAUUAUUGAUUAUAAGAUUAAGUUACCUUAGGGAUAACAGCGUAAUUUUUUUGGAGAGCUCAUAUCGAUAAAAAAGUUUGCGACCUCGAUGUUGGAUUAAAAAUUAGCUUGGGUGCAGAAGCUCAAGAUUUUGGUCUGUUCGACCAUUAAAUUUUUACAUGAUCUGAGUUCAGACCGGCGUAAGCCAGGUCGGUUUCUAUCUUUAUUUAUCUAAAAUAUUUUAGUACGAAAGGACCAAAUAUUUAAUAUAAUUAUAUUUCUUUUUUGAAUAAUAUU